This 503-nucleotide ribosomal RNA is filed under the name uncultured bacterium. Its description in RNAcentral is "bacterial SSU rRNA". It matches the Rfam family "Bacterial small subunit ribosomal RNA", at positions 26 to 518 of the family's 1533-position model. The record is from RNAcentral.
AGAACGAACGCUGGCGGCGCGUCUAAGCAUGCAAGUCGAACGGCAAGAGGUAGCAAUACCUCCUAGAGUGGCGGACUGGUGAGUAACACGUGGGUGACAUACCCUUCAGAUGGGGAUAGCUAUUAGAAAUAGUAGAUAAUACCGAAUACGAGCACAGGGGUUAGAGAUCUGUGAGGAAAGGAGCUAAGGCUCCGCUGAAGGAAUGGCCUGCGGCCCAUUAGCUAGUUGGUGAGGUAAGAGCCCACCAAGGCGAUGAUGGGUAUCCGGCCUUAGAGGGUGAACGGACACAUUGGGACUGAGAUACGGCCCAGACUCCUACGGGAGGCAGCAGCUAAGAAUAUUCCGCAAUGGACGAAAGUCUGACGGAGCCGACGCCGCGUGGAUGAAGAAGGCCGGAAGGUUGUAAAGUUCUUUUCGGGAGGGGGAACAACCGUGGCAGGGAAUGGCCGCGGGAUGACGUGAAUCCCGGAAUAAGCCCCGGCUAACUACGUGCCAGCAGCCGC